UCACGUCAGUCAGACAUCACCCCCCCGGA
Molecule: small RNA, 29 nt
Filed under: Bombyx mori (domestic silkworm)
Lineage: Eukaryota; Metazoa; Arthropoda; Insecta; Lepidoptera; Bombycidae
Description: ovarian small RNA-25316
Source: RNAcentral